AAUUUGACUGAUUUUUUUCUGUGUUGGUGUUGUGUACUCAGAGUGGCAUCACAAAUAUCAUAUUCACCUGAGUACACAACACCAACACAGAAAAAAAUCAUAUU
Molecule: non-coding RNA, 104 nt
Organism: Paramuricea clavata
Lineage: Eukaryota; Metazoa; Cnidaria; Anthozoa; Malacalcyonacea; Plexauridae
Source: the annotation of a GenBank genome assembly